This 567-nucleotide ribosomal RNA is filed under the name Triticum aestivum (bread wheat). RNAcentral describes it as "partial small subunit ribosomal RNA". The record is from RNAcentral. Lineage: Eukaryota; Viridiplantae; Streptophyta; Magnoliopsida; Poales; Poaceae.
AUGAGAGGAGGAAUGGGUUUUCGUGAUCUUCAAAUGUUUAAUAUUGCUCUCCUUGGAAAACACGGAUGGAGGUUACUGGCAGAACCAGAUUCCCUUUGUGCUCGAGUCUUAAAGGAAAGAUAUUUCCCCAAUUGUGAUUUCAUGCAUGCCACUGUGCCAAAGAACUCAUCAGCUACUUGGCGGGCAAUUGUGGAAGGGAGGAAAGCACUGCAUACAAGCCUAAUUAAGCGGAUAGGGGAUGGCACAACUGUGUCAAUUUGGAAUGACAAGUGGAUCCCUAAUACUUUGAAAAUGACCCCAGUCGCUAGGCUGGGUGAUGCUCAGAUUUCUCUAGUCUCCGAUCUUAUUGACAGUGAGAACUGGACUUGGAAAAGUGAUCUGGUAAAAGCUUCUUUUAUACCUCCUGACGCUGAUGCAAUUCUUAAUAUUCCCUUGCGCAUGGGAGGGGGAGAUUAUCUAUUGGCCUGGGAAGGCGAGCGGACUGGGACUUACACUGUAAGGUCGGCGUAUCGAUCUCUAGUGAUUCAAAACAAGCAACGUGCUCUAGAAGAAGGGACGAUAACAUAA